UAUAUAUAUAAUGAUUUAUUUUUAACAAAAUCCUGGCGCGGGGAAUUCACCUAGUUCACUCUUAUUUUCUUGCAUUUACUUUGUAUUUGCAGUUGCCCAUACGAAUGAGUUCCAAAAAUGUGGUUUACCUCAUUCACAUAUUCUGAUGUGGAAAUCCAAUAGUACACAGGCCUCUGCUGCCUUAGUUGAUCAGUAUAUCUCGGCUGAACUACCAGAUCCUAUUAUUAAUCCUCUUGGGUUUCCCUUGGUGCAAGUGUUCUUGGUGCAUGGUCCAUGUGGUCCAUUGCAGCCAAAGAGUCCUUGCAUGAAAAGCAAUAUAUGUUCCAAGAGAUAUCCUAAGCUAAUAUUGCAGCCUGAGACAACUUUUGAUUUAGAUAUCCUAAGCCAAUAUUACAGCCUGAGCCAUGGCCGGGGCGGAGGCAGCCGUGGCGGGAGCGGUGCGCUGUGUCCGGGAGCGGAGGGCGGGCGGCGCUGCGGCAGGGAGCGAAGGUGGAGGUGGGCAGCCGGAGGCAGGGAAGCCGUGGCCGGGCGGAGGCGGGCAUGGCUGGGGGCGGCGUGGCUGGCUUGUUGCGGCCGGGGGCGUUGCCGAAGAUUGGUCCCGUGUAACACCCAAAAUUUGAUUUCCAUAAAUAGGAUUUAAUUUGAUUUAUUUAAAUAUUUUUGAGAGCAUUUCAAUUAGUAAGUAAAUAUUUUUUGUUGAAAUUAAAAUUUAUUAUAAGGUUAGAAACUUGUUUAUGCAUUCAUGCUGGAUCAUAUUUUAUUUUCAUUUUUGUACUGUGCGUUGUUUUAGUUUUAAUUGAAUUCAAACCUUUUUUUAAAAAAUGCUUUGGAAAAGGAAUAAAAAAGGAGGGAAAUUCCUUCCUUGGAACUGGCCGAAGGCCUGCCCACCCCCUCAUCCCGCUCGCGUGGUCUCAGCCCAGCUCCUCCUCGCCCCAGCCCAACUUGCAGACCAGCCCAGCAGACGGCCCAAGCCGUGCGCGCCCCUCCCCUUCUCUCUCUUCUCUCACCGACAGCUCGACCCCGCACGUCAGCGUCCUUUAUCUUCUUCCUCCUCGCGUAUUCGAGCCGAACGACCGAGAACAGCCAAAAUCCCGAGAACUCUAGGAUUUUCUUGCCCAAGGAAAAAUCUAGUCCCUAUAAAAACCCGUGGCUUUAACCUGCGAUCCCUUUUUCGCAUCUAUUGGUGCGGCUACGCCCUAGCCCUAACAGUUCUCUGCUGCGAAUCUUGCCGAGUCGUUGAACUCCAUUCGCCGCCACGGAUGGAGCUCGGGAUUGCCUCAAAGCUGCCAAGAACUUGACGCCAGGUCUCUUUUCGAGGAGCUCGUCAAUCCGCCAUCUUGUGCUGCCCGUCUCCUCUGAGUCCUAGUCGACUCCGAAUAGGGCCUAGAUGGUGAGAAAUACGUUGGUAAGCAAGGCCAAGUCUUUGACGACCAGCAGAAACAUCAGGAAAGCUUUGAUCAAUGCAAGUAUAACUUGGGACCAACCUUGUUGCCUAUUCACAUUUAAUACAAUAUAUCAUAUGCAUGUGUCCACCUUGACAACCUUAGUAAAAUUAUAGAUGAUUGUUAUCUUGAAUU
This is a long non-coding RNA of Sorghum bicolor (sorghum), 1577 nucleotides long. RefSeq lists it as uncharacterized. NCBI's taxonomy places the organism in Eukaryota, Viridiplantae, Streptophyta, Magnoliopsida, Poales, Poaceae. The record is from RefSeq and is a predicted model, not a curated record. The transcript is spliced from 3 exons.